Hibiscus syriacus is the source of this 483-nucleotide long non-coding RNA. RefSeq lists it as uncharacterized. The record is from RefSeq and is a predicted model, not a curated record. The transcript has 2 exons. NCBI's taxonomy places the organism in Eukaryota, Viridiplantae, Streptophyta, Magnoliopsida, Malvales, Malvaceae.
ACAGCUUGGUUCCUGGUUAAGCUUUGAAAAACCUCUAUAAUGCUUGCUAAUACAAAACUUGGUAUCGCCCCUUGAUAGCCUUGCCAGCUGUUCUAAAAAGGCAUCAACCCUCUCUCUCACUUCUAAUCUCCUGAGAUCCAGAUAAGAUUCAAGUGCUUUAGCUGGAACUGUAAUUCCUCUUUGAUCGAACUACUUCCAUUUCUUCUUUCUUUUUCUAUGAGCAGCUUGGAUGAUGGGUACCGAGAAUUUCGGUUUGUUGGAAACGGCCGGAACGGGCGAGGAGUCUUCGAAGGAAGGAGUUGCGGCUGGAACGGCACCUAAUUGUUUCGGGUCAAACUUCAGUGGACUCGGUCUCGGGUCAGGCUCCGGAUCCAGGUCUGUGGGGCUCUACUUGUACUUGGGCUGCUGGAUUUGAAUGUGUAACACUUGUAUUUGGGUUUUGGCCUUAUUCUAUAAAUGAAUGAAAAAAUAAAUUAAUAUGUA